AAAAACCAUAAACAAAGCAAUGGUUGUUUGCUCUCCCUCAAGGGCUUCUGAUCUCAUCCAUGUAAGGACCAUGGGUUAUCAAGGGGUGAGAUUAGGUAUAUUAAGUGGAGCGUAUAGUUUGUUUUAUCAACGAGACCAGCAGCAAAUUUUUCGUGCGAGCUCCUUGCUGGUUCGCAAGAAUUGGCUUGCGAGCUUGUCUAUUUGUAUGCAAACCGUCUUGUCAUAGGUGAGUAAAAGUAUAAUUAUAAGUAAAUAAUAAUAAUAAAUAAAAAUUGGUGAUCCGAGCUUGUGUGGUGGGCCUAGUCAAGCUUAACUGAGUUCAUUUAACACUCCUAGGUGAGGCUAGAGGCUCUUUGAGGGAGAGAUAACAAACCUUGUUUUGCAUUCAUUACAAUGAAGAAGGUGGAAAUAAAGUACUGAAUCCAACUCUUAUUCGACAUUGAGGUAAGAAUUAUGCAUACUCAUCUAGUUCCAAGAAAAUGUACGGAAAUCAAGGUACUUUUUCUUAUUUAUGACAAAUUGUCCACACGUGCUCUACUUAAAAUGUAAUUGUGAGAAUUUUAUUUACCCAAGUGUAGAUACUCAUCAUUUUUAUUUUUUUUGGUGCUUCUUCGUGUAAUAUUUUAUGUGUCUAAUCUUCGAUAGAAGUCAUGAGCCAAAAUUUCGCAGGGUGGAGCUUCCAGCUUUUGCAAGUGAUUCAACUUGCACAAGUUCACACAUGCAAGUUGCCAUAAUAUAUUUUGUAAGUUGAAUUAGAUAGAAGAGAACUAAAUUAAUGACUAAUUUGCCAUGUGUAUAUUUCAUUAAAAUGAUUAUGUGCUUCUUUGAGAAAGUUUAAAAAGUUGAUAUCAAAAUUUGAUAAGUUGUUCCAAAAAAAACUGUCAAAAUUGAACAUGUGUACAUUUUUUUAUUAUUCUUUUCAGAGUCUCCAUCAAGCAAAACAAGUAGUAAGAAAAGGUCAAUUACACGCAGUUAUAUUACAGACUUUAGUGUGGAUAUGUUCACUACAGAAACAAUCUACUGCUAUUGAAGAUUAUCAACGAUGUAUGGCAACCGAUUGAAUAUGAGUAAAUUAUAAUUUGUUUAUAACCUACAAUUGAUUCUAACAAUCUGUAUUUCAUUUUUGAUAGCAUUAUUAUGUUACACGUAACAUUGCCAAGUUAGGACCAAUUAUGUAUUGUACAAUCUAAAUGUUUAGAGACAUAAAGUUUAAUGCUUGUGAUGCAAAAUCAAGUACUCUGAACUUCUAUCAUGUUAUUAAUUUCAAUAAUACUUGCUUGAACAAAUGUCUCGAAAUUCAAAAGACGGUAUGUUUAUAAACAUCAAUGAACAUCUAAUAAACUCUGGGAUGACAUCGAUGAACAAUUUCUUGAAAUCCAUUGAUAUCACAUGCAAAAUUAUAAACAUUAUUAGGGUGUAAAAAUGGGCAUGGUUUAAGUUCGGCACACUAAACUCGAGCCAUGACACAGUACGACCUUAGACUUUCUAUGACCAUUUGAGCCACCUCAUGAGAGCCUCAUUUAGAAAUAAUAAACAAAAUGAUGGGAAAAUAAUUUUUGUUAUAAAUUGUAAGUUUAUUA
This 1580-nucleotide long non-coding RNA is filed under the name Olea europaea subsp. europaea. Lineage: Eukaryota; Viridiplantae; Streptophyta; Magnoliopsida; Lamiales; Oleaceae. The record is from RNAcentral.